RNAcentral lists this ribosomal RNA (253 nucleotides) under uncultured bacterium. RNAcentral describes it as "partial 16S ribosomal RNA". It matches the Rfam family "Bacterial small subunit ribosomal RNA", at positions 524 to 776 of the family's 1533-position model. The record is from RNAcentral.
UACAGAGGUGGCAAGCGUUGUUCGGAAUUACUGGGCGUAAAGGGCGCGUAGGCGGUUCGUUAAGUCCUGUGUGAAAUCCCCCGGCUCAACUGGGGAACUGCACAGGAAACUAGCGGGCUUGAGUUCGGGAGAGGGAAGCGGAAUUCCAGGUGUAGCGGUGAAAUGCGUAGAUAUCUGGAGGAACACCGGUGGCGAAGGCGGCAUCCUGGACCAAUAUUGACGCUGAGGAGCGAAAGCAUGGGGAGCGAACAGG